This 622-nucleotide long non-coding RNA is filed under the name Salvia miltiorrhiza (redroot sage). RNAcentral's name for it is "long non-coding RNA (SMIL_LNC008840)". The record is from RNAcentral. Lineage: Eukaryota; Viridiplantae; Streptophyta; Magnoliopsida; Lamiales; Lamiaceae.
CCAAAUAAGAAUUAAAUUUUUUCGAAUAAGAAAAAUUGUAUGAUGAAUAACAUAUCUUCUACUAAUAAAUUGUGAUUAAGGAAGAUGAUUACCUUCGACUUCGCCAGUCCCCCAACUAUCAUCAUCUUGCCCUGCUUCUGCACCCUCGUCGCUUGCCUCACAUUCAAUAGCUCGACCAAUAAAAAACAACACAAACAAACAUCAAAAAGACUGCAUAAAAGAAAUGAAACUCCAAAAACACACAACAAAUCACACAAAACCCCUCACUCUUUCCACAACUUUUUCAAGAUCAUCCCCCAAAUCUUCCUUCAACAGCUCAUCAAUCCCUAAGAUCUUCAGUUCUAAAUUUUAUAGUGGGUAUUUUUAGAUUUUUUAAUUUUGUAGAAGUUUCGAAUAUACCUCUUCAGACGUCGUCUUCAAUUCUUCGAUUCGCCGGUUCCUCUUCUCGAAAUUUCAGAGAUUCUCGAAUUGUCGUCUUCAAAUCUUCCGAAUGUGCAGCAAAGAUGGAAGAUGGAAGAUGGAAGAGUGAAAGUUGAAAACCCUAUUCGAAAAUAGUGGAAUAGUCGAGAAUGUGGAGUAAAUUUAGGAAUGACAGUUCACCAAAUAGAGAAAUUGACUACUC